RNAcentral lists this ribosomal RNA (309 nucleotides) under uncultured eukaryote. RNAcentral describes it as "partial 18S ribosomal RNA". It matches the Rfam family "Eukaryotic small subunit ribosomal RNA", at positions 1470 to 1796 of the family's 1831-position model. The record is from RNAcentral.
CCCUUAGAUGUUCUGGGCGGCCCGCGCACUACAAUGGCGUGUGCAGCGAGUGCCGAAGUAGAGUUUUCCGAGGUAUUCUUGCAAUGCUCGUUUUGAUGGGGAUAGACCCUUGCAACUGUUGGUUUUGAACGAGGAAUUCCUUGUAAGCAUGGUUUAUCAUCCGACGCUGAAUGCGUCCCUGCCCUUUGUACACACCGCCCGUCGCUCCUACCGAUGAGUCGUCCGGUGAGGUUCGUAGACCUCGUGAUCGCGGAUCACUGGGGGAAGCAAAAUGAACCUCGCGGUUUAGAGGAAGGAGAAGUCGUAACA